AAGUUGCAAAGCACUUUGAAGAGAGAGUUAAAGAGGACGUGAAACCGAUGAGGUGGAAACGGAUAGAACCAGCGUAUCUGGCCUGCAUUCAACCGCUCGCGGGAAGCGCUCGUGCAGCUGGCGACCCCAGAUUGGGACAGUUGUGCGAGUCAUGCUGGACGGUUUGGCGAGAGGUGCAUUUGCAGGUCGAGUGCGCCGAAAGGCUCGGGGUGUGAGCCCGGUUUUGAGGCCAGCUUGCUGGUACCCGGACUUGGGGGAGUGCUGUUUGUUCUGAGUUAUAACUGGGCAUGGCUUACGAUUAUGAAAGGACUGAAGGUUGGCGGCGGUCGCUUGCGACACGUGCUCAGCAGGUGCCAACAGUCCUAUCAUGGUUGGAUUCACUUGCCUAUUCUCGGUGUAAGAGCUGGUCAUCUCUCCGACCCGUCUUGAAACACGGACGUGCGCCCAAGGAGUUUAUCGUGUGCGCGAGUCAUUGGGCGUUGAAAACCCAAAUGAAAGUGAAGUGCCACGCAAGUGGCUGAUGUGCGAUGUUGUGUGCCAAGGCACACGACCGCAGCAUGGCCCCAUCCUGGCUGCUUGCAGCGGGGUGGAGGAAGAGGAUGAGACCCGAAAGAUGGUGAACUAAGGCGCAUUCCUGAGCAGGAUGAAGCCAGAGGAAACUCUGGUGGAAGUCCGAAGCGAUUCUGAAGUGCAAAUCGAUCGGGUAUGUCUGACUU
Molecule: ribosomal RNA, 716 nt
Filed under: Pratylenchus zeae
Lineage: Eukaryota; Metazoa; Nematoda; Chromadorea; Rhabditida; Pratylenchidae
Description: partial large subunit ribosomal RNA
Rfam family: Eukaryotic large subunit ribosomal RNA
Source: RNAcentral